AACAGGAUUAGAUACCCUGGUAGUCCACGCUGUAAACGGUGGGUACUAGGUGUGGGGUCCAUUCCACGGGUUCCGUGCCGUAGCUAACGCUUUAAGUACCCCGCCUGGGGAGUACGGCCGCAAGGCUAAAACUCAAAGGAAUUGACGGGGCCCCGCACAAGCGGCGGAGCAUGCGGAUUAAUUCGAUGCAACGCGUAGAACCUUACCUGGGUUUGACAUGGAUCGGGAGUGCUCAGAGAUGGGUGUGCCUCUUUUGGGGUCGGUUCACAGGUGGUGCAUGGCUGUCGUCAGCUCGUGUCGUGAGAUGUUGGGCUAAGUCCCGCAACGAGCGCAACCCUUGUUCACUGUUGCCAGCACGUUAUGGUGGGGACUCAGUGGAGACCGCCGGGGUCAACUCGGAGGAAGGUGGGGAUGACGUCAAGUCAUCAUGCCCCUUAUGUCCAGGGCUUCACGCAUGCUACAAUGGCUGGUACAGAGAGUGGCGAGCCUGUGAGGGUGAGCGAAUCUCGGAAAGCCGGUCUCAGUUCGGAUUGGGGUCUGCAACUCGACCUCAUGAAGUCGGAGUCGCUAGUAAUCGCAGAUCAGCAACGCUGCGGUGAAUACGUUCCCGGGGCUUGUACACACCGCCCGUCAAGUCAUGAAAGUUGGUAACACCCGAAGCCGGUGGCCUAACCGUUGUGGGGGAGCCGUCGAAGGUGGGACUGGUGAUUAGGACUAAGUCGUAACAAGGUAACC
RNAcentral lists this ribosomal RNA (735 nucleotides) under uncultured bacterium. RNAcentral's name for it is "bacterial SSU rRNA". It matches the Rfam family "Bacterial small subunit ribosomal RNA", at positions 771 to 1501 of the family's 1533-position model. The record is from RNAcentral.